Molecule: long non-coding RNA, 918 nt
Organism: Thunnus maccoyii (southern bluefin tuna)
Lineage: Eukaryota; Metazoa; Chordata; Actinopteri; Scombriformes; Scombridae
Exons: 3
Source: RefSeq, a predicted model, not a curated record
ACCAAAAGGCUUACACACAUAGCAAGAAAUGCAAAAGAUGAACACAUUCGCAGAGGAGAUGAAAUCCACUUUACCAGCUUUACAGGGAUCCUUGUAGUCGAUUGCAUCAACGAGAUGAACCAGAAGGGAUAGAAAAAAGACAUCAGCUUCUGGAAACAGACCUGCAGCUAGGAACAGGAAAUUGAGAGGAUGAAGCCUCAGUCCAGCAGCAGCAGCAUAGCUACCAGUCCAAGUCCCAGUCCAGCAGCAGCCUAGUUAUCCAGAUAGUGACAGAUUAGGACAGAUAACAUGGAGGCUUCAGGAGUGGAAUGAGAUUGUGGUCAGUUAAGAAAGCAACAGAAGAGCAGGGAGAGAAAAUGAGGCAGACAGCAAGUGGAGCAAGAGAAACAGGUGACAUACAGCAAUUGAAUAGUCAAAGUGUAAAGGAGGCUAGUUCAUAUUAAGAGAGCUGGUAAACAUUUUAUUCAUUUUUUAUAUUUUAUGUCUUUUUUUCUUUAACCUGUCUAUGAAAAAAAGAAGGAUGUUGUGUAUACUAACUCUUUGUAAGAGUUUGGCAGCGUCAAUCAAUAUCAAUCUGAUGGACUGGGUGUGAUAGUGUAUUCAGAUGUGAUAAUUUCCUCAUGCACUGUUGAUAGGGUCUUAAGAAAAUAAUUGCUAAAUAAUUUACUUUGUCUGGUUUGGUAUGUUAAAGUUUUGUGAUCAUAACAUGAAAAUACAUUUGAAUAACUGAUUCACUAAUAGUGAUACCAGUGUGUAUUAGUAGACUUACCUGACUGGUUCAGAGAUGUUUGUGUAUUUGGAAUAUCAUGUGUCAGUGGUAUUAUUUUUAUUUCAUUUUGUCUUUAUGUCAGUUGGACCUUAUUUGGCUUUAAUGGUCAAUGUAUCAAAAGUUACAUUUCACAGUGUGUAUAAAAUUAU